Non-coding RNA from Anolis sagrei ordinatus, 183 nucleotides. The record is from RefSeq and is a predicted model, not a curated record. NCBI's taxonomy places the organism in Eukaryota, Metazoa, Chordata, Lepidosauria, Squamata, Anolidae.
GGGUUGCUCUCCCGCCGCGGCUGCUGCUGCUGCUGCUGCGAGGACGGAGGGAACUGGUGGUACUGGAGGCUGCCGCUGCUGAAGGCUAAAAGAUGAGGUGCACUGGGACCCUUACUGAAAAAGUGAAGUAUCAAGAAGAAAGAACAUCAUAAGUAAAUAAAGCUCAUUCAUUAAUGUGGAAAA